CUACGGGCCGCUCCAGGCGCGAAACCUUUACAAUGCACGCAAGUGUGAUAAGGGGACCCCACGUGCUGGCGUAAUGCGUCAGCUUUUCUAGAGUGUAAAAAGCUUUAGGAAUAAAGGGUGGGCAAGACCGGUGCCAGCCGCCGCGGUAACACCGGCGCCCUUGGUGGUGACCGCGUUUAUUGGGCCUAAAGCAUCCGUAGCCCGUUGUGUAAGUUUUUGGUGAAAUCUGGCAGCUCAACUGUCGGGCGUGCCGAAAAUACUGCAUAACUUGAGACCGGGAGGAGUUAGAGGUAUUCCAGAGGGAGCGGUAAAAUGUUGUAAUCUCUGGAGGACCGCCGGUGGCGAAGGCGUCUAACUAGAACGGGUCUGACGGUGAGGGAUGAAAGCUAGGGUAGCGAGCCGGAUUAGAUACCCUUGUAGUC
RNAcentral lists this ribosomal RNA (422 nucleotides) under uncultured archaeon. Its description in RNAcentral is "partial 16S ribosomal RNA". It matches the Rfam family "Archaeal small subunit ribosomal RNA", at positions 323 to 746 of the family's 1478-position model. The record is from RNAcentral.